GGCCAUGGGGAGAGCAAUAACAGAAACUUACCGCAAGGCGAGCACACAGCAGGAGACAUUUUCAGAGGAAGAACUCCCAUUCGACAAGUGUUUUGGCCCUUAUACCUGACACUCUAUGGAAGCCAGGCCCACCCAGGUCAUGACUCCUAGGUGUCCUCCUGCUGCUUUCCAAAACCCUGAUUUGAACCUUGGUCAUUCUUUUUGUGAACUUGUGUUCCCAGGUCUGUGUUUCAGCCUACUAGACCACUCUGACCAAUGAAGGAACUAGUUCUCUUCCUCCUGAUAUUUCAGUGAU
Molecule: long non-coding RNA, 295 nt
Organism: Octopus sinensis (East Asian common octopus)
Lineage: Eukaryota; Metazoa; Mollusca; Cephalopoda; Octopoda; Octopodidae
Exons: 3
Source: RefSeq, a predicted model, not a curated record